UACGUAGGGAGCAAGCGUUGUCCGGAUUUACUGGGUGUAAAGGGUGCGCAGGCGGAUCAAUAAGUCAAGGGUGAAAUCUCACGGCUCAACCGUGAAAUUGCCUCUGAAACUGUUGAUCUUGAGUUUGGGAGAGGUCGAUGGAAUUCCAGGUGUAGCGGUGAAAUGCUUAGAUAUCUGGAAGAACACCAGUAGCGAAGGCGGUCGACUGGCCCAUAACUGACGCUCAGGCACGAAAGCGUGGGGAGCGAACAGG
RNAcentral lists this unclassified non-coding RNA (253 nucleotides) under uncultured Ignavibacteria bacterium. RNAcentral describes it as "contains 16S-23S intergenic spacer region". It matches the Rfam family "Bacterial small subunit ribosomal RNA", at positions 524 to 776 of the family's 1533-position model. The record is from RNAcentral. Lineage: Bacteria; Pseudomonadati; Ignavibacteriota; Ignavibacteria.